This 600-nucleotide ribosomal RNA is filed under the name uncultured bacterium. RNAcentral describes it as "bacterial SSU rRNA". It matches the Rfam family "Bacterial small subunit ribosomal RNA", at positions 722 to 1337 of the family's 1533-position model. The record is from RNAcentral.
CGGCUUGCUGGUCCGAUACUGACGUUGAGGCACGAAAGCGUGGGGAGCAAACAGGAUUAGAUACCCUGGUAGUCCACGCCCUAAACGAUGAGUACUAAGUGUUGGUGAGAAAUCAGUGCUGAAGUUAACGCAUUAAGUACUCCGCCUGAGUAGUACGUACGCAAGUAUGAAACUUAAAGGAAUUGACGGGAGCCCGCACAAGCGGUGGAGCAUGUUGUUUAAUUCGACGAUACGCGAAGAACCUUACCAGGUCUUGACAUCUAGUUGUUAGGUAUGGAGACAUGCCGAGAAAGACUAAGACAGGUGGUGCAUGGUUGUCGUCAGCUCGUGUCGUGAGAUGUUGGGUUAAGUCCCGCAACGAGCGCAACCCUUAUUGCUAGUUACUAAUAUUAAGUUAAGGACUCUAGCAAGACUGCCAGUGAUAAAUUGGAGGAAGGUGGGGAUGACGUCAAAUCAUCAUGCCCUUUAUGACCUGGGCUACAAACGUGCUACAAUGGCUGAAACAAAGAGAAGCGAAGCUGUGAAGCAGAGCGAACCUCAAAAAAGCAGUCUCAGUUCGGAUUGAAGUCUGCAACUCGACUUCAUGAAGUGGAAUCGCUA